Molecule: RNA transcript, 3488 nt
Organism: Cebus imitator (Panamanian white-faced capuchin)
Lineage: Eukaryota; Metazoa; Chordata; Mammalia; Primates; Cebidae
Gene: TIMM21
Gene name: translocase of inner mitochondrial membrane 21
Exons: 5
Source: RefSeq, a predicted model, not a curated record
CGCGGCCCACUGUCCCAUCCCAGUUAAGAGCAGGGUCUUUAAACUACUAUUCCCAGAAAGACGGGGGAGUUUCCCAGGUGACUUUGCGAAGGCAUGGCAGGGAUCCUGUGAAUGUCAGCCCAGAAGGUAAUCAGAGUAUUUUAAUUCAAAUAGAAUGAAGACAGAAGGGAAGGUGGACAUCAGGUUCACUGUGGAGACUUUUCGUUUUUAUUUACGCUGCUGAAGCUAACGUUUUUGCCUAACACCCCAUUUAAGUAAACGUAUAGGCUGGAAUAGGAGCCCGGCCGGAUGUGAGGUGAACCCUAAAGCUUUCCUAAUUGUAGUUAGCAUCGUCCCUAAGCGGAACGAUUUUUGUGAACAUGAUUUGUACUUUUCUACGUGCCAUACAAUAUACGGAGAAGCUGCACAAGUCCUCGGCAAAGAGAUUGCUUUUGCCACACGUUGUGCUUAACAAAGCGUGCUUGAAGACUGAGCCCAGUUUGAGAUGGGGGCUUCAAUAUCAGAAGAAAACAGUGCGACCUAGAUGUAUCCCUGGAGUCACCCAGAAAGCCAUCUGGACUCAGGGGCCGAGCUCCCGAAAAGCAAAGGAGGAUAGUAGCAAACAAGUGUCUGUGCACAGGAGUCAGAGAGGGGGAACCGCCGUCUUAACAGCACAAAAAGUGAAAGAAACCGGAAGAGAUUUUUCCUAUUUAGUAGUGGUGCUCUUUGGAAUCACCAUUACAGGUGGCUUGUUUUACACAAUUUUCAAAGAACUCUUUUCUUCCUCAAGUCCUAGCAAGAUAUAUGGGAGAGCCCUAGACAAAUGCAGAUCACAUCCCGAGCACUCUGCACAGGGCCCCAGUGCAUCAUCUUUAUUCAGUCUCACAAAAACCAUUUGUGUUCGGUGCUCCUUGAUCUUCAGUUUGCAGAAGGAGAGACUGACACUUAAAGAGAUAAGUAACUUCACCAGGAUCAUGGAGCUGGUAAGUUGGAGAUCCAGAACCUGAAUCCAAGCAAAUCCAAGAUUUGCUUCCAAAUCUGAAGCUGUUAAGCACAGUCUGCCUCCGCCCUUCCCAGGGAAGAGUGAACAUGGGGAAGCUGCCUUGGUUCUUUGAAGGACCCUGUCGAGAAGGAAGGCUUUAGAUGUGGCUUUCCAGUCACACAUAGCCAGUGUGGCCUGGGAAGUGCUGUAUUUCUUACUCCCUGAUGGAAAGCUUUAGCACUGAAAACAUUACUCAUUGAAAUCCAGCUUCAUUCACCUUGAAAGAUAACAGCAGAUAACUCUCUGCCAUUAUCAUCAUAAAUAUUAGGCUGUUUUUCACACAGACCAAAGAGUAAUGUCAUCCCUAGCAUUUGCAGUCCCUAAAGAGGAGAAAGGUUUGAAUCCACAGCAUGCUCUCAAAACAGAGCCCAGGGCUGAUCUUCCCUGGGGCUCCGGCUCUGACUGUACCACUUUUUCCAAUCAUGUCAGGGUGGAAACCUCAGAAGCUAACAAUCACUGGCAUCUUUCUUUUUAAAUCCACCGAUUUCUCUUAAUUGGACCGAGGCAGGGAGGGUGAAGUAUUCCAGAGGUGAAAACCAGCAGGAAAUAAGGAAGGUUCCUAUGAUAGUUACUAUAUCUAACAAGAAACAUUCUUUACAUGUAAAUGUAAAUGUAAAUGUUUCUGCGGAAAUACCUAUGGGUGGUAACCUAAUUAAAUGUUAGAAUGCAUCUCUGGAAAGAGAUGAAGAGUUGCUAUGUUAUUCACAAACUCAUAGAUUUUUCAGCAUUUUGAACAAAAACCUCCACAGAAUAUACAACAGUGAGAUAUUAAAGUCAUAACUUAAUUUGCUGCCUGAAAAAGCUUUACAAAUAAUAAUUAAACUAACAAUUUUGUCAACAUUUUUUAAUGGGUACCCUUCUCUUUGCCAGGUACUGUGUCUGCUUGAAAAAUAGAAAAUCCUGAUGGUGUUGAUAUUUGUAUGUUAAAUAGAUUAAAGUGGAUUGUUCUACUUGUUUGAGCUAUACAGUUCUGAAGUAUCAUCUUACAUGUUACUUCUUUUUCUCCUGGAAAAUGUGAUACUGAAGAUAUUCUUCAAACAGACAAAAUACGAUAAAUUUCAUAGAAAUGAGGGUCAAAUUUUUUUAGUUUAGUAUCAAAUUUAUAUUUUUUAGAGGGUUCCACAGUAUUUGUAUUUUGAAUUCAAUAAAAACUAUAUUUCCACUUCAUGUGGAUUUUCUCAUUAGAAAUAAUAGAUUCACACCUGUGGCUCUGGUUUAUUUUAAAUGUCAUUAUUAUCUGUUUUCUUUUUCUUCACUGUGUAUGGUGACUGAAAAUUUUUUGAUCUCAUAGUUUUAGUAUUAGGUACCAUUAAUUAAUUAAAUUUCAUUUAAAAUGUUCAUACAUUUUAUCUUCAAACCAAAGGGUAUUAGUAGAGAAACAGCUGAACCCUGUGUUGUUUUGUUUGUUUUCUGUAAGGGGAGCAGGAGCUGCGUCAUUUCUGCCUACAUGGUUCUGAAACUAUAAGUCACACCAUAAAGCUACCUAUUUUAAUCUUUGGGCAUGAAAUAUUUGUCUAAUUUAUUUACGGGAUGAUUUUUGUAUAAUAACCCUUUUUUUCAGUUUUCUUAUUGAGUGGUCAUUUUUGAGAAGGUCCUAGGCUUACUGGUUUUUCUUUUUCCUAAAAUCAUUUGGUUGGUUAGAAAUUAUUUCCUUAGGAAGCUUUUAACCCACACACACAAAAAUAAUAAAGCCCUGUCCUUGUUCUGCAGGUGAUUGGUGUCUUUGGUGAGCCUAUUAAAGGCUAUGGGGAGGCGACAAAGCGGGGUCGCAGGCAGCACAUCAGUUUCGUUGAAUAUGUAAAAGAUGGGCUAGAACACACGCGUGUGAAAUUCUACAUCGAGGGCUCCGAGCCAGGGAAGCAAGGAACGGUGCAUGCAGAAGUGAAAAAGGUGUGGGAAUCGUGGGUCAUGGGGUCAGAGGUUCUAAGCGCAGUGUUACUUAAGUUCUAGAAAGGAAAAUAAUACCUGGAAAUACUACAUUUUUUUCAGAACCCAAAAAGUGGUGAAUAUGAUUUUCGAUACAUAUUUGUAGAAAUUGAAUCCUAUCCUAGAAGAACUAUUAUCGUUGAAGAUAAUCGAUCCCAAGAUGAUUAGAAGAAUCAAGCAAGCAGGUUACAGAUGGAUGCUGCGUGGCGUGGACUCACUACUCCAGUCUUCACAGCUCUCUUCCAGAAUCUGCUCAAAAGAAAGACAAGAGUGUAUGGUUUCUAAAGUGAAUCUGAUACAGUAUUUGUUACAUUUAAACAAACUAGACAUUUUCUUUUGGAAAAAUUAUGAAAUAGAGCAUAUUUUAUGUUCUCCCAUUGAAUCAAUCAUGACAGUAUUUCUGCUUUAACACCAACUUUCCUGAGUAGAAAUGGUUGUUAUUGAGAAUUUUACAUCAUGUAAAUAAAGGAAAUAGAUUUUAGUUUUGUGUUAUAGAACUGAAUAAUGUCUCCAGAAUAAAAUUAAAACUAACAAAUAUUUC